AUUGAACGCUGGCGGCAGGCCUAACACAUGCAAGUCGAGCGAGCGGCGGACGGGUGAGUAAUGUAUGGGGACUGCCCGAUAGAGGGGGAUAACUACUGGCAACGGUAGCUACUCCCGCAUACUAUCGGAUAACCCAUAUGGGAUUAGCUAGUAGGUGAGGUACUGGCUCACCUAGGCGACGAUCCCUAGCUGGUCUGAGAGGAUGAUCAGCCACACUGGGACUGAGAAACGGCCCAGACUCCUACGGAGGCAGCAGUGGGGAAUAUUGCACAAUGGGGGCAAGCCUGAUGCAGCCAUGCCGCGUGUAUGAAGAAGGCCUUAGGGUUGUAAAGUACUUUCAGUCGGGAGGCGUUACCGGCAGAAGAAGCACCGGCUAACUCCGUGCCAGCAGCCGCGGUAAUUC
This 403-nucleotide ribosomal RNA is filed under the name uncultured bacterium. RNAcentral's name for it is "partial 16S ribosomal RNA". It matches the Rfam family "Bacterial small subunit ribosomal RNA", at positions 30 to 526 of the family's 1533-position model. The record is from RNAcentral.